AGUGAACGCUGGCGGCAUGCCUAAUACAUGCAAGUCGAACGGAAACAUGAUGAGAGUGUGCCCUUGCCGGUGGCGGCUGACGGGUGGGUAACGCAUAGAUAACCUUCCACUUUUACUUGGAUAACUUCGUGAAACCACUGCUACUACCAGCGAAUAUAUUGAACCGCAUGGUUCAAUAGUGCUUGGCGGUUUUCCUGUCACUUUUAGAUGGUUCCGUGUCGCAUUAGCUAGGUGGUAAGGUAACGGCUUACCAAGGCUACGAUGCGUAGCCGACCUGAGAGGGUGAUCGGCCACACUGGAACUGAGACACGGUCCAGACUCCUACGGGAGGCAGCAGUAGGGAAUCUUGCGCAAUGGGCGAAAGCCUGACGGAGCAAUGCCGCGUGAGUGAAGAAGGUCUUCGGGUUGUAAAACCCUUUUGUUAGGAAAGAACAACUGUGUAUGAAACUCCGCCCGUUUUGACGGUACCUAAUCAGUAAGCCCCGGCUAACUACGUG
RNAcentral lists this ribosomal RNA (497 nucleotides) under uncultured bacterium. RNAcentral describes it as "partial 16S ribosomal RNA". It matches the Rfam family "Bacterial small subunit ribosomal RNA", at positions 29 to 507 of the family's 1533-position model. The record is from RNAcentral.